This 110-nucleotide small nucleolar RNA is filed under the name Nannospalax galili (Upper Galilee mountains blind mole rat). RNAcentral's name for it is "Small nucleolar RNA SNORA32 (ENSNGAG00000009919.1)". It matches the Rfam family "Small nucleolar RNA SNORA32". From Rfam's summary of the family: ACA32 is a member of the H/ACA class of snoRNA that guide the sites of modification of uridines to pseudouridines. The record is from RNAcentral. Lineage: Eukaryota; Metazoa; Chordata; Mammalia; Rodentia; Spalacidae.
UGGACUUUAAGAGUGCAUUUUCCCAUUUGCUGUGGACAGGACCAUAAGAAAACACUCCCUCUAGGUUUUCUGUGUGCUAUUUGCUAGCAAUCAACUUGUUGGGAACAUUU